CCUACGGGCGGCAGCAGUGAGGAAUAUUGGUCAAUGGUCGCGAGACUGAACCAGCCAAGCCGCGUGCAGGACGACGGUUCUAUGUAUCGUAAACUUCUUUUGUCAGGGGGCAAACACUGAUACGCGUCUCCGGCUGAGUGUAUCGGACGAAAAAGCAUCGGCUAACUCCGUGCCAGCAGCCGCGGUAAUACGGAGGAUUCAAGCGUUAUCCGGAUUUAUUGGGUUUAAAGGGUGCGUAGGCGGUCGGAUAAGUUAGCGGUGAAAUCCCGGGGCUCAACGUCGGAAUUGCCUUUGAUACUGGUAGUCUAGAGUGGGGGAGAGGUAGGCGGAAUGUGUGGUGUAGCGGUGAAAUGCAUAGAGAUCGCACAGAACACCGAUUGCGAAGGCAGCAUGCC
Molecule: ribosomal RNA, 395 nt
Filed under: uncultured bacterium
Lineage: Bacteria
Description: partial 16S ribosomal RNA
Rfam family: Bacterial small subunit ribosomal RNA
Source: RNAcentral